This is a long non-coding RNA of Carassius carassius (crucian carp), 534 nucleotides long. RefSeq lists it as uncharacterized. Lineage: Eukaryota; Metazoa; Chordata; Actinopteri; Cypriniformes; Cyprinidae. The record is from RefSeq and is a predicted model, not a curated record. The transcript has 3 exons.
GUCAGAAGGGCGCGCUGAUAAGAGCGAGAUAGUAGGGUUUCACUUCAUUGCUUAGAGGCUGUAAAAUCAGAUAAACACGAAGGUGAAAAGUUGAGCAUUUGGAAGAGUAGUGAUGUCAAGUGGCUCAUGAAAGCGCUGAGGUCAGAAGAAUGAAUGAUGUUGAAGUGUGGCAUGUUCAGGAGAACCAAUAGGAGGACAGACUGACUCGGGCAGCCAGAACUUCUGCUGAAAGCUCAGAGGCUUUGACCUUUGAGGUGUGAGGAUUGUGCAGGUAUGGGACAGACGCAGCCUGACCCCAACAACAGGGCAGCGGGGACACAAUCUGCUCUGAGACCCACUCCUGUGCUCAUCGUUCAUGAUGCAAUGGUCACUGAAUGGGAAGCUACUCUGUGAAGAUACCGCAGUGUCCCGGGGAGAGAUGGGAAGGAUUGAUAACCGUGCACACGUUCACACACACAAGCACAGACAGUCGAGGAGCUGUUUAUGCUUUCCCUUGCUGUGAGCCACCUCUCAGAUGCAGUCGAUAGCCAAACA